Molecule: non-coding RNA, 29 nt
Filed under: Rattus norvegicus (Norway rat)
Lineage: Eukaryota; Metazoa; Chordata; Mammalia; Rodentia; Muridae
Source: RNAcentral
GCUCCUGGGAAAUGGCUCUGGAAGGGGAC